Molecule: ribosomal RNA, 535 nt
Filed under: uncultured bacterium
Lineage: Bacteria
Description: partial 16S ribosomal RNA
Rfam family: Bacterial small subunit ribosomal RNA
Source: RNAcentral
UGGGGAAUAUUGCACAAUGGGCGAAAGCCUGAUGCAGCAACGCCGCGUGAGGGACGACGGCCUUCGGGUUGUAAACCUCUUUUAGCAAGGAAGAAGCGAAAGUGACGGUACUUGCAGAAAAAGCGCCGGCUAACUACGUGCCAGCAGCCGCGGUAAUACGUAGGGCGCAAGCGUUAUCCGGAAUUAUUGGGCGUAAAGAGCUCGUAGGCGGUUUGUCGCGUCUGCUGUGAAAACCCGAGGCUCAACCUCGGGCCUGCAGUGGGUACGGGCAGACUAGAGUGCGGUAGGGGAGAUUGGAACUCCUGGUGUAGCGGUGGAAUGCGCAGAUAUCAGGAAGAACACCGAUGGCGAAGGCAGAUCUCUGGGCCGUAACUGACGCUGAGGAGCGAAAGGGUGGGGAGCAAACAGGCUUAGAUACCCUGGUAGUCCACCCCGUAAACGUUGGGAACUAGUUGUGGGGUCCAUUCCACGGAUUCCGUGACGCAGCUAACGCAUUAAGUUCCCCGCCUGGGGAGUACGGCCGCAAGGCUAAAAC